AACGCACAUUGCGCCCCUUGGUAUCCCAGGGGGCAUGCCUGUUCGAGCGUCAUUUCUACCAUUCAAGCUUUGCUUGGUUUUGAAUAUAUUGUAGUACUUUAAGUAGUUAUACAUAUUCUAAAUAUAGACGGCAGCAAGUAUAAGUUCUAAGCGUAGCAGUAAAACAUUUCGCUUUUGCACUUAUAUUUUGUUAAACCGAAAUAAAGUAUAUUUACAGUUUGACCUCGGAUCAGGCAGGGAUACCCGCUGAACUUAA
This 256-nucleotide unclassified non-coding RNA is filed under the name Cladophialophora sp. RNAcentral's name for it is "partial contains 5.8S ribosomal RNA, internal transcribed spacer 2, and large subunit ribosomal RNA". The stretch from base 1 to 52 matches the Rfam family "5.8S ribosomal RNA", at positions 103 to 154 of the family's 154-position model. RNAcentral also lists the same sequence under 2 other names. The record is from RNAcentral. Lineage: Eukaryota; Fungi; Ascomycota; Eurotiomycetes; Chaetothyriales; Herpotrichiellaceae.